GUUAAACAAGUGCUUGAAGGCAGUAUGCUUGGUAAAAGUCAUCGCCAUUCUCUAAUCUUGAGUACCCAGGGACACGAUACACUGCGGAAGGCUGCAGGGACCUCUGCCCAGGAAAGCCAGGCUUGCAUGAAGGAAAUGAUUUCCUAUGAUUCUGCUUACUGCUUAAAAAAAUUAAUCAAGUUUUCUGCCUGACAAGGAUCACUCUAAGCUCCAGUGUCAAGGAGUCAAGUCCUUCAGGAAUUCUCUGCCUCCACUCCCUGUGGCAGAGCUAGAGUGGCUGCCAUGCUUCUGAGCUCAGCCAGCAUCCAGAGAGAGAGUGAGAUACAGCCUCCUCUUCUUGAAGCACCCACUUCUAAACUCUGUGACAGUUUUCUUGGAACUCUGUUAUGUGGAUCUGGAGAUGACAAUGUCACAGCACUCCCCUCUAAGCCUAAAUUCCCCCACACCGAUGAACUAUUAGUUUUCUAAGGAUAAUGGUCUCCAGCUUCGUCAAUGUUCCUGCAAAGGACAUGAUGCUGACUUUGAAGAUGCAAGCUUCCACAUCUACAGCCUCAAGGAAACAAAUUCAGCCAACCAACUGAGGGAGCUUUCCUUGUCCUGCCUCAAGAUGAGAUCACAGUCUGCCCAACACCAUGAUUUAGGCCUUGUGACACCUGGUAUGGAAGACCCAGUUAAGUUCUCUCCAAACUCUUGACCCACAGAACCUGUGAGAAAAUAUAUGGAUAUUAUUUUAAACUGCUAAAUUUGUAGUAAUUUGUUAUGCAGCAAUAAAAAAAACUAAUGCAAGGAGAUAUCAA
Molecule: long non-coding RNA, 797 nt
Filed under: Homo sapiens (human)
Lineage: Eukaryota; Metazoa; Chordata; Mammalia; Primates; Hominidae
Description: HSALNT0378534
Source: RNAcentral